GUCUAUGACCAUACCACCCUAAACAUGCCCAAUCUCAUCUGGUCUCAGAAGCUAAGCAGGGUUGGACCUGAUUAGUAUUUGGAUGGGAGACAAAUAUUCAAAAGAGACUGCUCAGAGACA
This 120-nucleotide ribosomal RNA is filed under the name Castor canadensis (American beaver). The record is from RNAcentral. Lineage: Eukaryota; Metazoa; Chordata; Mammalia; Rodentia; Castoridae.